UACGUAGGGUGCGAGCGUUAAUCGGAAUUACUGGGCGUAGAGCGUGCGCAGGCGGUUUUGUAAGUCAGAUGUGAAAUCCCCGGGCUCAACCUGGGAACUGCGUUUGAAACUACAAGGCUAGAGUGUGGCAGAGGGGGGUGGAAUUCCACGUGUAGCAGUGAAAUGCGUAGAGAUGUGGAGGAACACCGAUGGCGAAGGCAGCCCCCUGGGUUAACACUGACGCUCAGGCACGAAAGCGUGGGGAGCAAACAGG
Molecule: ribosomal RNA, 253 nt
Filed under: uncultured bacterium
Lineage: Bacteria
Description: partial 16S ribosomal RNA
Rfam family: Bacterial small subunit ribosomal RNA
Source: RNAcentral